This 775-nucleotide long non-coding RNA is filed under the name Canis lupus familiaris (dog). Its description in RNAcentral is "lncRNA (ENSCAFG00000054603.1)". Lineage: Eukaryota; Metazoa; Chordata; Mammalia; Carnivora; Canidae. The record is from RNAcentral.
UGGAAACGUGCCACCCACAGGUCUUGCUCUACUCCAGAAAACCAUCACUUUGAGCUCCUUCAACCCCACCUGCGUUGGGCACUGCCCAUUCUUUGUACCCUGCGAUGGCCCCCGUGUCACACGUGGCACUUGUGAAGACUUCUUGACAUAACCGUCUUUCUUCUGAGACCUUGAGCACCCCCUGGACUGCUGGGGUUUGAUUCCUCUUGCGAAUAAAUAAAGUAGGACUUUGUGAAGAUGUUGCUCAAGCCACGUCUGAUGCUCUACGUCAAUUGAUUGUCAUUGGCCUGUUGAGAGGCCGUCUUCAGGAUUUCAGGGUCCAUCUGAAAUAGUCCUCCCCACUCUGCCUUUCAAAGUAUUACAUGCUGACCUUCAAAGUCACAUGAUUUCCAAAUGCGACCAAAUCAUGUCUGUCCACAGGCCCUCGGCCCUUGCGGUGCUCCACUCUGAGAAUGGAUUACUGGGCAAUGUGCAUCCUCUUGGUUCAUCACACAAUUGUCUUCUGGCAGACCCUGCAUGUAAUUCACGCCUUCUUGGGAAGGCCUAACCCCAAGGAGAGUGCUGCGGAAGGCACUGCUUUGUCCUGAACCAGAACCCGGCAAAUCCAAGCACCCUUCUCUCUUCCUCACCAACAAUCAAGUUAUUCUUACAAAUAAAGGUUCGGCCUGGGUAUCGUUAAAGAUAACCUUUGUGCAAGUGAAGUCCGUCUUUCUCUCAACAUCAUCAGUAUUUGGGGAGGAGUGAGUGACCCCUGGGAGCAGGGAUGCAGAGAUCU